AGCGAACGCUAGCGGCGAGCUUAACACAUGCAAGUCGAGCGGAGGGUUUCGGCCCUCAGCGGCGGACGGGUGAGUAACACGUAGGUUACGUGCCCUUUGGUGGGGAAUAACUUAGGGAAACCUGAGCUAAUACCGCAUAUGCCCUUCGGGUGAAGUCUUCGGACGCCAGAGGAUCGGCCUGCGGCCCAUUAUUUAAUCCUUGUUGGUGGGGUAACGGCCUACCAAGGGUACGAUGGGUAGCUGGUCUGAGAGGAUGAUCAGCCACACUGGGACUGAGACACGGCCCAGACUCCUACGGGAGGCAGCAGUGGGGAA
This 315-nucleotide ribosomal RNA is filed under the name uncultured bacterium. RNAcentral describes it as "bacterial SSU rRNA". It matches the Rfam family "Bacterial small subunit ribosomal RNA", at positions 29 to 361 of the family's 1533-position model. The record is from RNAcentral.